CUUCGGUGAUGAGACGAUGACGAGUCGGAUCAGGUCUCUGUCUGGUUCUGGCGGCCGGUUCAGGUCCACGUUCUGUGGUUCUGUUCUGAGUCAUCAGAACACGGCGAGUCCGUUCAGCUGAAGACGCUGAGGCAUUUGUCUGAGAAGG
Molecule: small nucleolar RNA, 148 nt
Organism: Oryzias javanicus (javanese ricefish)
Lineage: Eukaryota; Metazoa; Chordata; Actinopteri; Beloniformes; Adrianichthyidae
Source: Ensembl